CGGAGCUUGCUCCACCGGAAAAAGGGGAGUGGCGAACGGGUGAGUAACACGUGGGUAACCUGCCCAUCAGAAGGGGAUAACACUUGGAAACAGGUGCUAAUACCGUAUAACAAUCAAAACCGCAUGGUUUUGAUUUGAAAGGCGCUUUCGGGUGUCGCUGAUGGAUGGACCCGCGGUGCAUUAGCUAGUUGGUGAGGUAACGGCUCACCAAGGCCACGAUGCAUAGCCGACCUGAGAGGGUGAUCGGCCACAUUGGGACUGAGACACGGCCCAAACUCUUACGGGAGGCAGCAGUAGGGAAUCUUCGGCAAUGGACGAAAGUCUGACCGAGCAACGCCGCGUGAGUGAAGAAGGUUUUCGGAUCGUAAAACUCUGUUGUUAGAGAAGAACAAGGAUGAGAGUAACUGUUCAUCCCUUGACGGUAUCUAACCAGAAAGCCACGGCUAACUACGUGCCAGCAGCCGCGGUAAUACGUAGGUGGCAAGCGUUGUCCGGAUUUAUUGGGCGUAAAGCGAGCGCAGGCGGUUUCUUAAGUCUGAUGUGAAAGCCCCCGGCUCAACCGGGGAGGGUCAUUGGAAACUGGGAGACUUGAGUGCAGAAGAGGAGAGUGGAAUUCCAUGUGUAGCGGUGAAAUGCGUAGAUAUAUGGAGGAACACCAGUGGCGAAGGC
Molecule: ribosomal RNA, 669 nt
Filed under: uncultured Bacilli bacterium
Lineage: Bacteria; Bacillati; Bacillota; Bacilli
Description: bacterial SSU rRNA
Rfam family: Bacterial small subunit ribosomal RNA
Source: RNAcentral